Malania oleifera is the source of this 106-nucleotide small nucleolar RNA. NCBI's taxonomy places the organism in Eukaryota, Viridiplantae, Streptophyta, Magnoliopsida, Santalales, Ximeniaceae. The record is from RefSeq and is a predicted model, not a curated record.
ACUUGAUGAUGUGGCCAUUGACAUAGCAGGUCCCUAAAGCGCUCCCAGGUAUUGAAAAAUAAUUCCCCACCCAUUUGUGAGAAACUAGUAAUGGCUCUUCUAAGCU